Molecule: microRNA, 21 nt
Filed under: Mus musculus (house mouse)
Lineage: Eukaryota; Metazoa; Chordata; Mammalia; Rodentia; Muridae
Description: mmu-miR-3569-5p
Source: miRBase by way of RNAcentral
UCGGAGGAGAGCAGACCGGUG